UAACUUUCAUUUUGUUGCCGUUAUUUCUACUCACAGGUUCCCCAAACAAGUUCUAUCUCACUAUGAAUUCGAGAUAACCGACACAUGUAUACAGUCUAUUGGUCCUGGAUCUUUAAUUGAUUUGGGCUAGGUUUAGAGUUGAAACCUGGACUAGCUAGUAGGAAUAGGACAUUUUGAUACAGAUAUUUGGUUUGUAUUCCUGGUCAUAACACUGAUCCUGAUGCAUGAGAAUCCUCCAAACUCCAUCAGGAUUUGGAGGAUUCCGUAGGAUUUAGGAAAAUUGAGCCCAGCUACCAUGACUUCCACAUGAUGCUUGAAGUACCAAGAAAAUGGAAGUGCUGAGAACGUGUUAUUUUUGCUGCAUAGAUUUUGUAAGAUGCAGGAAAGUUACUUAUAACUUAGAGGUGUGACAAGAAAUGUUUUGAAUUCCAUCUUGGGAAAACAGGUGGAGAAUUUGACUGCUAAGUGUUUUAAGUUGGGCAAAGAGAAAGUCACUUCCAAAUUAUUACAUCUGGCCUUGUGUAUGAAAUGUUAUUUGUGCCCAGUAACAGUUGGAAUGCUUAUUCAUCACAGUUUGUUUAUAUAAGCAGUGGGCAAGUAUCUAGAGCAUGCAAUAAUAUGCUUUAUUUUGCAGCUUUGGCGUAAUUUUUUCCCUUCAAAUGUAGUCACUUUUUGUUUUUUACCCAAUUUCGCAGGGCAUUCCCGGCGGAGCCAAUCUGAUCCAAGUGGAAUGUCUACCAGAAGACAUUACGGAGGAGCACCUGACGUCCGUCAUGUACGGCUUUGGACCUGUCAUCGACUGCAACAUACUCAGGGAUAAUGAUUCCCAGAAAUGCAUCGGGAUUGCCUUUGUCAGAUUUGAAACCAGUGAAGCUUGUUCAUCAGCUAUUUCUGCUCUGCAUGAAGAAGAUUCACCAUUUCAUAAAUGCAGUGGCAAGGAUGAGGAAAUCCCCAAGCUACUAGUGCACAUGGUGUUGUGAGCCAGUCAAACGAGAGUCCCCUUAGACGGCUGACAAAGUGUGCAAGUAUGGCACCCGAAGUGGGGUGUUUUUUUGGCCUCUGGUAGUUGGUGAAGCAUGGACAGUAGAGGACACUGCACUCUAGCAUUUAUCAGAGCUGUUUAUAGAGAGAAUAGCGCCAACUCCAGACUUUACAACCAAAAUGGCAGUUUAAUGUUUGCAGUACAGCAUGCAGCAAUCGUCUGCUAAUUGUCCAUCUGCGCUGAUGCAUAAUCCACCAUUUUGGUUCCAACAAAUGAGACACUCAUGUCGCAACUCUCUCUAUAAUCAGCCAUGGCAUUUAUCAUACCUCUUCAGCCAUCGGGACUGGUAAUCAGUUACUAUCAGGACCGCAUUGAGUGCUAAAAUGGAAUGAAUUUUUGUACCAAGAAACUGUCGCACUCUGGGGCUGUAAAAUGAUUGCAGUUUGUUUUUAUAGAUGCUAAAUAUUGUUCAUUUUCUGGGAUUUUUGAAUGGAAGGAAACAUGGCUCACUUUGUACAAUAGUGGGAAGUUGAGUUGAAUUCAAAUUGAUGUUUUUUGUCAAAGUGUGUGGGUUCUCUUUGAAGAGCCAUUCUACUGGACGACAUGUUCGCAUUUGAAAAUGUUGUGCUUAUUUAUCAUUCUGUUCACUUCAGUGUAAGCAUUGUACUGUGUUUAUCAAACACAGUACAUCUAUCUUGCGAAUGAUCGACACCUCAGGUUUGGAGUUUUUCUUAAAUGACCAGGCAGUAUGUUUCCCCGAAUGGUUCUCAACAGUGGUUGUGUGUGGCAGUAGCAAGAUUACACAUUUAGAAUGCUUUUCCUGUUUAAAACACACUCAUUCAAGAGACAAAACAGUGCUCAAAUGAUCAGUAUUUUUGAAAUGAAAAUAUAUUUUAAACCAGUUUUAUAUACAUUGAACUGUUACACUAAAACUGUAGUAUGUGCAAUACUUGAGCACAUGCAAGAGGAAAACCUGAAAUUUCUUAAUGAACUUACUCAGUUUUGUGAUGCAUUACAGCAUAAUUUAAGCAAAGGGAAGUUCAUGCAAUACGA
Molecule: long non-coding RNA, 2035 nt
Filed under: Acanthaster planci (crown-of-thorns starfish)
Lineage: Eukaryota; Metazoa; Echinodermata; Asteroidea; Valvatida; Acanthasteridae
Description: uncharacterized LOC110980217
Source: RNAcentral